AACGAACGCUGGCGGCAGGUCUUAGGCAUGCAAGUCGAACGGGUAUAGCAAUAUACCAGUGGCGCACGGGUGAGUAACGCGUGGGAACAUACCCUUUGCUGGGGAAUAACGUUUGGAAACGAACGCUAAUACCGCAUAAGCCGGAAACGGGAAAGAUUUAUCGGCGAAGGAUUGGCCCGCGUUGGAUUAGCUUGUUGGUGGGGUAAUGGCCCACCAAGGCAGUGAUCCAUAGCUGGUCUGAGGGGACGAUCAGCCACACUGGAACUGAGACACGGUCCAGACUCCUACGGGAGGCAGCAGCUAAGAAUAUUGGACAAUGGGGGAAACCCUGAUCCAGCCAUGCCGCGUGAGUGAAGAAGGCCUUCGGGUUGUAAAGCUCUUUUAAUCGUGACGAUGAUGACGGUAGCGAUAGAAAAAGCACCG
Molecule: ribosomal RNA, 423 nt
Filed under: uncultured Alphaproteobacteria bacterium
Lineage: Bacteria; Pseudomonadati; Pseudomonadota; Alphaproteobacteria
Description: bacterial SSU rRNA
Rfam family: Bacterial small subunit ribosomal RNA
Source: RNAcentral